GCUAGGGGAGCGAAAGCUGAGAGCCCGGGUUCGUCCCGGAUACCCUCAUAACCUGAUCCGGAUCAUACCGGCGUAGGGAAGCAGAAU
This 87-nucleotide non-coding RNA is filed under the name bovine gut metagenome. RNAcentral's name for it is "TPP riboswitch (THI element)". It matches the Rfam family "TPP riboswitch aptamer (THI element)", at positions 8 to 91 of the family's 105-position model. From Rfam's summary of the family: Vitamin B(1) in its active form thiamin pyrophosphate (TPP) is an essential coenzyme that is synthesised by coupling of pyrimidine and thiazole moieties in bacteria. The record is from RNAcentral.